RNAcentral lists this long non-coding RNA (4481 nucleotides) under Nicotiana benthamiana. RNAcentral describes it as "long non-coding RNA (NBEN_LNC016642)". Lineage: Eukaryota; Viridiplantae; Streptophyta; Magnoliopsida; Solanales; Solanaceae. The record is from RNAcentral.
GAAAAGGACAGUUGUACCAAAAUAGUUAAAAAGAUACUUUUUUUCCAAGAUUCAUAGCUCACAUAUUUUUCCUACACAUUCUCUCAUUUUUCUGCAUUUAAGGGACACUCUCAUCUCAUUCAUAGCAGACUCAUUUCAGAUUUUCAUUUUCUCUCAUUUGCAUAUCUCACACACAUCACAAUACAGAUUACUCACUCAUCCACUCUUCAUUCUUCAAUAACACAGAAAAUAGCCAAAGAAAAGCCAUAGAGUACUGAGUUAGAAUCUGAAGUUUCCAAAUUAGAAAAUUAAAAAGAAAAGUAAAUUUAGGUCGAUUUUCCUUUUAAAAAAGGGUUGUGGAGAAGCUGUAUCGAUUUCUACUUGAUUCUAGAAGAAAUUCUUUAUUAUUUUUGGAUUUUUGGCAAGCUGCUUUUGUCUGCAAUUCUACUAUUAGCUGUUGGAGUAGUUGUCGAGCUCUAGUGGAGGCUAUUUCUGACUUUUAUUUGGUAUGUUCCUUGUUGAUUUCUCAACUUUGAACUUGUAAGCUUAACAUCUCUGUACUCACAUGUUCCUUUCAAAUGACUCCCUAUGAAAUCUAGUGUAAUUUGUUGAUCUCUCAUGCUAGUAGAGCAAAAAAUUAAAUUGAUUUACCAUUAUUAUGUAGUGUAGUAUUCUAAACUCUGGACUGAAGUGUAUUGUGGAAUCGUUUGUUUGUUUGUUAAUAUCUGUUGCAGUAGUACAAUAGUGUUUAUAACAAAUAAAACAAGAUGUUGGUUUCUAGAGUAAUGGACUCAUUGUGUACUUAACCUAUAAUAGCACAAAUACAGUUAGCUAUAUGAUUUCCUUUUGUUAGUAAAAAAACUGAGUUAGAAACUGCCUACUGUUGAAGUUUGUUCAGUUUUCCUUGUGAUAAAUAUUGAGGUUGGACGAUGAAGGAUGUGAAAAUAAAAUCAUGAUGUAUGUAAAUUAAUUAAUUGCAUCUAAUCAUUAUACUACUGUUUGAUUUUAAAAUAGGAUGUUGGUUCACAAAAUUGGUUUUGUUGCAAAAUUUGAAUUAUGAUCUUUGUAAAUAUCAGUAUUACGACAUGUAAUUUGAUGAUCUUGCCUUCGUGUUUGAAAUGACUUGUAGUUAAUUUUAUUUUUCUUCUGACGUAUAUUAAUUUAUUUAAACUAGGUUUGUAAGAACAUUCAUUUCAGUAUUGUUUAAACUAGCAAGAGGUUCGGAAGAUCGAAAGUUCCCAUGUAUUUUCAUUUUUGUUUGGGCUUGACAAUAAUUUCGCCUAGCUGAAGAUGUGUCCGACGAAAGCUUACUCUCAAUUUUAAUUAAUAAAGUAAAAGGCCUCUUUUUAUUACAAAAUCCUUUUCAGCAUAAUCCAUUAUCUCACCCUUUAUUCAAUUAACUAAACUAUUGGAAGAUUAGAACAACCUUGGUUCAUCACUUAAACAGUUAGAAUGACUUCUUUAAGCUUACGGUAGUUUCCAUACUUGUACUCACACUGAGCUAAAAAAUAAAUUUAGGAAAUUAGCUAACUUUUGAACGCUCAUAGAAUGCUUUAGGCACGACUUUAAUCUAUCAUCGUAAUUAUGUAUACGUUCGUGUGAUAUAAUUAUUAUCUCAUAAUAAAUCAAACUGAUGAUUUAAGACACCAUAAUAAUUACUCCAAGUGGUAACUCUAAUUAAAUAAAUUAUCUCAUUUCGAAUAAGGUCGCUAAUUGGAAAAGCUCUCUUAUCUUCGGAAAAAAGAUGUGUGACAAUCUCAAGGAGGUUGAAUAUGAAUUUUGGGAUAGUUGAGUGACUAUUUGAGCAAUAGCCUCGAAAAGUUUUUUAAACUUGAUUUCAAUAUCAAAUUUUGACUCCAAAUAGGCCCGAAUCACCUCUAAUUUUUCACAAAUUCCAAUCAUUCCUAAUCAAAAAGAUUAUUAUUUUGUCAAGACUUUUGAAUGAUUAUUUUGUUGUCUAAACUUUCUUCAUGUUGUAUAUGAUUGGGAAAACAAUUCUAGCUAUUGGGGGAUGACCCGGCUAGUUUCCUUAAAAUUAACGCUCUGGUCUCCUAUUAACUACUUUUCCCAAGUUUAUUUCUGCUAUUUUGAUUUGCCGAGAUAGUUGGUUUUAAGUUUUUGGAGAGUUUUUGAAAACUUAGUCCUAAAUGAGAGCUUAAGUGUUGGAAAGUUGACCGUAGUCGGAACAAUAUGAAGACGGCCUCGGAAUGGAAACUUGAUGGUUCUGUUAGCUUCUUUAGGUGAUUUCGGGCUUAGGGGCGUAUUAGGAUUGUGUUUUGGAAGUCCGUAGCUAAUUUAGGCUUGAAAUGCCGAAGGUUGAAUUUUUGAAGUUUCUGGUUCGAUACUGAGAUUUUCAUCCGAGGGUCAGAAUGGAAUUUCAAGAGUUACACUAGUUCCGUUAUGUCAUUUGGAAAGUGUGUACAAAAUUUCAGGUCAUUCGUAGGUGGUUUGAUUGGGUUUUUGAUCAAAAGCGAAAUUCGGUAGAUUUUUAAAAACUUAGGCUUGAAUCCGAUUGUUUUUGGGAAUUUGAUGUUGUUUAAAGUGUUUUGAAGAUUGCUACAAGUUUGAAUGAGGUUUUAGGAUAUGUUGGUGCUUUUGGUUGAGGUCCCAGGGGCCUCGGGUGUGUUUCAGAUGUUCAACGGAUCAUUUUAAGUUGUCAAAAGUUGCAGGUUUUGUUAAGCUAUUACAAAGGGAUUUUAGCCUUCGCGUUCGUGAGGUAGGCUCUAUGUUCGCGAAGGGUUAUGAUGUUUGAAAAUCACGUUUGCUGAAAAGGGAUCGUGUUCAUGUAGAAGAAAAUGGCCAGUUGGGUUCAAAGUGGAGUUGUUCUUCGCGUUCGCGACAGCUGUAACGCAUUCGAAAAGAGUUGGUCAGUGGAAGCAUCGUGUUUGCGAAGGCCGUGUCGCAUUCGCAUAAGAGGAUUUUUUGGUCAACAUUAUUUUGUGUUUCCCGAACACAAGACUUAACCGUAUUCGCAAAGAAGGAAUUAAAAUACAUGGGUAAAAUGUUUAAAAGGGUCUAUUUCGCGAAUUUUAGCUAGUUUCCUCCAUUGUUAAGCGAUUUUAAAGCUUUUUGAGGAGGGCUGAAGAGGGAUUCAAGGGAAUCACUUGGAAGUAAUAUUUUUGACUUCAUAACUCAUUUUUAUAUUAUUAAAUACUGAUUAGUGGUGAAAAAUUUGGGAAAAAUGGGUAAUUAGGGCUUGAGUUUAAGAGAACCAAAAUGGGUAUUUGAGGGGUCAAUUGAACUCCGAUUUUUAUUUUCUUGUUAUGUAUAGACUCGUGGGAGUAUGAGGAUUCCGAAUUUACCCGAUUCCAAGACAUGGACCCGAGGGGCAUUUUGGUCAUUUUACUUAAUUUCGCAUAUUAGCUUAGAAUUCAAUUGUAGAGUCAGUUACUUGAAGUGUUAUUUACAUUAUGAAAUUAAAUUAAAUAGAUUUGAGCCAUUUGGAGUCGAGUACUCAUGGCAAGAAUGUGGUAUCAGGUUUAUUUUGAGCCGGUUCGAGGUAAGUGGCUUGCCUAACCUUGUUUGAGAGACUAUUCCCUUAGGAUUUGGUAUAUUUGAUAAUUGAAAUGCCUUGUAUAUAAGGUGACGAGUGAGUACUUGUGCUAAAUAUUGAAAAUCUAGUUUUCAUUAAGUACUACUAGUAUGAUUAUUUUUCCUGUUUUACUGCUUGUACUAUUUGAACAUGUGUUAGCUUAGGAGAAGCAUGAAUAAAUGAUUAAAUUGCCUUACUUAUUUAACUGCCUUACCUAAAUUAUGUGCAGCAUGCUAAGAUAGACUAUUUUAUUGCCGUACUAUGAAGUUUGUCAUUUCUGAUCAUUCCUCCUGUUACUGCUGUGUGUUUUCUUUGGGACUACGGGUUAGAUUCCCAGUAGAUUCCCCCACAUAUUUACGUUGGGACUACAGGUUAGAUUCCUGGUAGAUUACCCCUGAAGAAUAAUAUGGCACUACAGGAAUGCACCUGGUAGAUUCUCCUAGUACUGGAUAUUUAUGUUUGGAAUUAUGAAAUCGGAAUUCGGUAGAUCCCCUUGUACUAUGAGUUGAGCUACGGGACGAUAUUCUGAGAGACUUUUCUGAGAUGUAUAUUUGGUACUUCAGGAUGGUACCCUGAAAGAUCCGCGGUUGGUAUUAUUGGAAUUGAGCCGUAUUUCCUCCGGUGUUUACUUUGUUUUACGUUAUUUUGUGUUGUUGUUGUUGUUCUCUACAUACAGUGUUACUUUUACUAUUGUUCACAUAUUAUACUGUCUUGUUCCACACCAUUGAAUUAUAUCUUUUAUUUAAUCUUAGUAGGGCCCUGACCUUCCUUGUCACUACUCAACCAAGGUUAGGCUUGGCACUUACUGAGUAUCGUUGUAGUGUACUAAUGCCCUUUCUGCGCAUAUUUUUAAUGUGCAGAUCCAUGUACAUCAAGUCACUUUUACCAUCAUUGAGGCGAGGCGACCGCUAUAGAGACUUCGAGGUACAUCUGCUACGUCCGCAGACCGAGAAGUCCCUUUCUAUUCUAG